AAUCCAACUCCGCGAGAACCCUCCCACAUUGACAAGACCUAAAGCGUCCGCUAGCUCACGAGGACUGCACCACGGGAGAAUCGGUCGUCGUCGUUGGGACUUCGCGGUGGCUGCUCCUCGGUGGUUCUGGGGAUUAUCGGAGGCGGAGGGCGUGCCUUAGCAGGGAGCACGUUGCGACCGGAGCAAGUUCGCCGACGGGCAAGCUACUGAUGAUCCGGAGGUUCAACAGGAGAAGAAAAUGCGGUCGAAGAGGAGCCGCCUAACGAGGAGUUCGACUUGAUCUUGGUGGCGUCUCCCAGUCAGCUUUUGUGUCGCCGGGGAAAUAAUAUUUAGUUCGUUUUAUAUUAAUCAUUCAUUUUGUAAGACUUAUGCUAUGUAAUAAGUACAUUUAUAAUAUUUAUGACAUUUAUCUC
Zea mays is the source of this 413-nucleotide long non-coding RNA. RefSeq lists it as uncharacterized. The transcript is spliced from 3 exons. NCBI's taxonomy places the organism in Eukaryota, Viridiplantae, Streptophyta, Magnoliopsida, Poales, Poaceae. The record is from RefSeq and is a predicted model, not a curated record.